CCGCGAAUGGCUCAUUAAAUCAGCUAUGGUUCCUUAGAUCGUACAUGCUACAUGGAUAACUGUAGUAAUUCUAGAGCUAAUACAUGCCACUAUGCCCUGACCCGCAAGGGAACGGGUGGAUUUAUUAGAACAGAACCAACCGGGAUCGGCUUCGGCCGGUCCUGUUGCACUCUGUGAUGACUCUGGAUAACUUUACUGAUCGCAGUCGGCCUUGUGUCGGCGACGGAUCUUUCAAAUGUCUGCCCUAUCAACUUUCGAUGGUAGGUGAUCUGCCUACCAUGGUGAUAACGGGUAACGGGGAAUCAGGGUUCGAUUCCGGAGAGGGAGCCUGAGAAACGGCUACCACAUCCAAGGAAGGCAGCAGGCGCGAAAAUUACCCACUCCCGGCACGGGGAGGUAGUGACGAAAAAUACGAAUACGGGACUCACUCGAGGCUCCGUAAUUCGAAUGAGUACAAUCUAAAUCCUUUAACGAGGACCAAUUGGAGGGCAAGUCUGGUGCCAGCAGCCGCGGUAACUCCAGCUCCAAAAGCGUAUAUUAAAGUUGCUGCAGUUAAAAAGCUCGUAGUUGGAUCUGGGUCGCGCGUUCACAUGUCGUUUCCUGAUUCUGAUUUCGGUCAGUUUCAGGCGAUGGUAAAGUGGUCGUGCAGCCUUUCAGCCGUGUCUGCGUAAGCAGGUGUUGGCUGGCUGGUGGGCUUGCUCGCUGGCCAGUUGACAUGUUUCCUGAUGCCUUUAAACGGGUGUCGGGGGCGUACGGCACUUUUACUUUGAACAAAUUUGAGUGCUCAAAGCAGGCCCAUGUGCCUGAAAAGUCUUGCAUGGAAUAAUGGAAUAGGACUUCGGUUCUAUUUUGUUGGUUUCCGGAUCCGAAGUAAUGGUUAAGAGGAACAGACGGGGGCAUUUGUAUGGCGGCGUGAGAGGUGAAAUUCUAUGAUCGUCGCCAGACAAACUACAGCGAAAGCAUUUGCCAAGAAUGUUUUCAUUGAUCAGGAGCGAAAGUCAGAGGUUCGAAGACGAUCAGAUACCGUCCUAGUUCUGACCAUAAACGAUGCCAACUGACGAUCCGCGGCGGUUCUUUAAUUGGCCCCGCGGGCAGUCCCCGGGAAACCCUUAAGUCUUUGGGCUCCGGGGGAAGUAUGGUUGCAAAGCUGAAACUUAAAGGAAUUGACGGAAGGGCACCACCAGGAGUGGAGCCUGCGGCUUAAUUCGACUCAACACGGGAAAACUCACCCGGCCCGGACACUGUGAGGAUUGACAGAUUGAUAGCUCUUUCUUGAUUCGGUGGUUGGUGGUGCAUGGCCGUUCUUAGUUGGUGGAGCGAUUUGUCUGGUUAAUUCCGAUAACGAACGAGACUUUGACCUACUAAUUAGUUUGCCUAUCCUCUGUGCUCGUGCAGGUCUCGGUCUCAGUUGCCUCCUCGAGAGGUGGUGGGGUCGUGGAUCGGCGGGCACGGCGUGGUGCUUACUUCUUAGAGGGACAAGCGGCGCUAAAAAGUCGCACGAAAUUGAGCAAUAACAGGUCUGUGAUGCCCUUAGAUGUCCGGGGCCGCACGUGCGCUACAAUGACGGUGCCAGCGAGCAUGGAAACCUGGCCCGAAAGGGCUGGGCAAACUUUUCAUCACCGUCGUGACUGGGAUCGGGGCUUGCAAUUGUUCCCCGUGAACGAGGAAUUCCUAGUAAGUGCAAGUCAUAAGCUUGCGCUGAUUACGUCCCUGCCCUUUGUACACACCGCCCGUCGCUACUACCGAUUGAAUGGUUAAGCUGAGGUAAUCGGAUUGGUACUGUUUUAGCGGCUCUGUCGCUUGACUGGUAUCGAAAAGAUGACCAAACUUAAUCAUUUAGAGGAAGUAAAAGUCGUAACAAGGUUUCCGUAGGUGAACCUGCGGAAGGAUCAUUACAAGUCCCUAUCUGAAACUUAUCGGGCUCGGUCUCGGCCGGGUUCGGAUCUAAUUGGCGCGUUCGGCUGGCAAUUGCGUUGGUCGGGCGUGUCAAGGAAUUGACGGAUGGGUUCCCAUAAAGAGCCCGCGGAUUACAUCUAUAUGGAAUUGACGGAUGAGCCCUCUACUUGUAGAGGGAUCGCGGUAUCCUUGGCCAUACCUGAUUUGUAGUGGACUUGUUCUGCUGCAUCUCAUAAGUAUGGCCCGUAUUAAGGUGGGGUGCCUAUCCUGUCUGAUACUCUUGUGGUUGACUCGUGCAUCCUAAGAGUGAUGGGACAGUACUGUAUCUAUCUCAGUGCAAGGCUCCAAGAGAGGUGUGGACUACUUGUCCUACCUCCGCCCCACCUUGUUGUUUCUACUACCAUUCUUACACUGUUUAAGUUGGUUGGGUCGGUUCGUCCGGUCUGGCUAGCUGCCCAUAGCAUGCCUCUGGUCAUCUUGUAUGACUGGUCCGCAUGUACAGUCGCCUGGCGGUGCCUCAUCCUGGGCUAGACUGCAAACCUAUAUGUUCCUGUCUUCUCGGUUUACCGGGUUGGUGGGGGCAUUACAGUACAACUCUGAGCGGUGGAUCACUCGGCUCGUGUGUCGAUGAAGAGUGCAGCCAACUGUGUGAAUUAAUGUGAACUGCGUACUGCUUUGAGCAUCGACAUCUUGAACGCAUAUUGCGGCCGCGGGAUAUCCCGUGGCCACGUCUGGCCGAGGGUCGGCUUAUCACUUAUCACGACGCCCAAAAAGUCGUGGCCUGGAAGUUGUGCCAGCUGGCGUGAUUUCUCCACUUUGUGGGGUGCUGUGCUAUGGCUCCUUCCUAAUGUGUCCGGUUGCACCCAGCCUGGGAUUUGGUUUCCAAGUUGGGAUGUGGCGUUGGAUAUUGCAUGAGUCGUGGCUCAAUGAUUUGAUCGCGCUCGUGUUCUGUUCGCGUCAUGUUCCUGUUUGGUUAUCUACUUUCUGGGAUGAGGCUAUGUGACUGAUGCGGCCUGCUUGAUGCAGCCAAGCCAUAUUUAUGACCCUGACCUCGGAUCAGAUGCGAAUACCCGCUGAACUUAAGCAUAUCACUAAGCGGAGGAAAAGAAACUAACCAGGAUUCCCCUAGUAACUGCGAGUGAAGGGGGAUUAGCCCAGCACCGAAGCCUGUGGCCAUUUGGCUGCUAGGCAAUGUGGUGUUUAGGUCGUCUCUUGGCAUUACUGCUCCAUCCUAAGUCCAGCACUGAGUAUGGCAUCUGGAAUGGCCCAUGGAGGGUGGAAGGCCCGUGGGGGUGGAGAUCAAGUCGGACAGUUUUGCCCUGAGUAGACCUUGGAGUCGGGUUGUUUGUGAAUGCAGCCCAAAGCGGGUGGUAAACUCCAUCCAAGGCUAAAUACUAGCACGAGUCCGAUAGCGAACAAGUACCGUGAGGGAAAGUUGAAAAGUACUUUGAAGAGAGAGUUAACAGUGCGUGAAACCGCUCAGAGGUAAACGGGUGGAGUUGAACUGUAAGCUCCGGGGAUUCAGCUGGUGAGUGUGUCAUGGGCUUGGUCAUUUUCGGCCGGCCUCUAGAGUCCGCUUAGCUGCGGGUCCCUGCUUCUUCGGGAGUAGGGGUGCGCGUCGCGCUUGUCAAGUGCUGUGCGCUCUGGAGGUUGCCGGGCUGGCUCGCCGGUGCACUUUCUCGGAGUGGUCACCACGACCGGCGCUGUUGUCUUGCUGCUGUAGUCGAACCGGUCAGAUUUGGUCCUUGUGGCUGAACUUGAUCGGGAUGGCAGGUAGCUCAUUGGUUGGCUUGUCCAGUCUUUGGGUGUAAUCAGCUGGCUGCAGUGGUAUUGUGCAAUGCGUCGGAGACGGCGGCUCGAGGUAUGUGCUUGUGUUCCGUUGGUUGGCGGUAUCGGGUUUGGCUGGCGUGUUACCUGCUUCGGUGGGUCCGUUGGUGGCUCGGUGCUGUUUGGCUAGCGGUUGCACUUGUGAUACCGCCCAUGGGCCCAUAGUCUGUGGUGUAGCAGCAAACGAUCCACCUGACCCGUCUUGAAACACGGACCAAGGAGUUUAACAUGUGCGCGAGUCAUUGGGCGUUACGAAACCCAAAGGCGUAGUGAAAGUAAAGGCUUGGCUUGUCUGAGCUGAGGUGAGAUCCUGUGGCUUCUCGCGCGAGGUACCACCAAGCAUGUGAGUCAUAGGCGCAUCACCAGCCCGUCUCAUGGUGUAGUCUUGCAGCCUUGUGUUGCUUGCGACACCGGGGCGGAGCCUGAGCGCACACGUUGAGACCCGAAAGAUGGUGAACUAUGCUUGCGGAGGUUGAAGCCAGAGGAAACUCUGGUGGAGGACCGCAGCGAUUCUGACGUGCAAAUCGAUCGUCUAACGUGAGUAUAGGG
RNAcentral lists this ribosomal RNA (4272 nucleotides) under Diplostomidae sp. type 1 TGR-2015. RNAcentral's name for it is "eukaryotic LSU rRNA". The stretch from base 1 to 1895 matches the Rfam family "Eukaryotic small subunit ribosomal RNA". Lineage: Eukaryota; Metazoa; Platyhelminthes; Trematoda; Diplostomida; Diplostomidae. The record is from RNAcentral.